GGAGCCGUAGCGAAAGCGAGUUUUAACUGAGCGUUCAGUUACUUGACGUAGACCCGAAACCGGGCGACCUACCCAUGAGCAGGAUGAAGCGAAAGUAAAAUUUCGGGGAGGUCCGAACCCACGAGCGUUGAAAAGCUCGGGGAUGACUUGUGGGUAGCGGUGAAAUUCCAAUCGGGCCCGGAGAUAGCUGGUUCUCCCCGAAAUAGCUUUAGGGCUAGCCUCAAGGUGAGAGAUACGGAGGUAGAGCACUGAAUGUCCUAGGGGGUAUUGCACCUACCGAAGACUAUCAAACUCCGAAUGCCGUCAUCUUAUACUUGGGAGUCAGACUGUGGGUGAUAAGAUUCAUAGUCGAAAGGGCAACAGCCCAGAUCGUCAGCUAAGGUCCCUAAAUGUAAGUUAAGUGGUAAAGGAUGUGGGAUUGCACAGACAACCAGGAUGUUGGCUUAGAAGCAGCCACUCAUUCAAAGAGUGCGUAAUAGCUCACUGGUCGAGUGAUCCUGCGCCGAAGAUUUCCGGGGCUAAAACUUACUACCGAAGCUACGGCAUCA
RNAcentral lists this ribosomal RNA (548 nucleotides) under Clostridioides difficile. RNAcentral describes it as "bacterial LSU rRNA". It matches the Rfam family "Bacterial large subunit ribosomal RNA", at positions 662 to 1210 of the family's 2925-position model. Lineage: Bacteria; Bacillati; Bacillota; Clostridia; Peptostreptococcales; Peptostreptococcaceae. The record is from RNAcentral.